Molecule: ribosomal RNA, 468 nt
Filed under: uncultured bacterium
Lineage: Bacteria
Description: partial 16S ribosomal RNA
Rfam family: Bacterial small subunit ribosomal RNA
Source: RNAcentral
GACGAACGCUGGCGGCGUGCUUAACACAUGCAAGUCGAACGGAAAGGCCCUGCUUUUGUGGGGUGCUCGAGUGGCGAACGGGUGAGUAACACGUGAGUAACCUGCCCUUGACUUUGGGAUAACUUCAGGAAACUGGGGCUAAUACCGGAUAGGAGCUCCUGCUGCAUGGUGGGGGUUGGAAAGUUUCGGCGGUUGGGGAUGGACUCGCGGCUUAUCAGCUUGUUGGUGGGGUAGUGGCUUACCAAGGCUUUGACGGGUAGCCGGCCUGAGAGGGUGACCGGCCACAUUGGGACUAAGAUACGGCCCAGACUCCUACGGGAGGCAGCAGUGGGGAAUAUUGCACAAUGGGCGGGAGCCUGAUGCAGCAACGCCGCGUGCGGGAUGACGGCCUUCGGGUUGUAAACCGCUUUCGCCUGUGACGAAGCGUGAGUGACGGUAAUGAGUAAAGAAGCACCGGCUAACUACGUG